Non-coding RNA from Cherax quadricarinatus, 323 nucleotides. NCBI's taxonomy places the organism in Eukaryota, Metazoa, Arthropoda, Malacostraca, Decapoda, Parastacidae. The record is from RefSeq and is a predicted model, not a curated record.
UGAUAGUAACUGCAGCUCUGCAGGAAGGUGACCUUUGAUGCUGUCCUUGCUGAUGAACCUUUAAUGGAAUACUUGACCAUAUGUUCAUUGUCCUGCUGAAGUCUGUCUGCUCAGACUGACACUACUGAAGUCUUCCAGCUCAGGUUGACACUAUUGAAGUCUCCAGCUCAGGCUGACACUACUGAAGUGUCCCAGAUCGGGCUGACACUACUGAAGUCUCCAGCUCAGGCUGACACUACUGAAGUCUCCAGCUCAGGCUGACACUACUGAAGUGUCCCAGAUCGGGCUGACACUACUGAAGUCUCCAGCUCAAGCUGACACUA